CAGAUAGGUGAUAGGGCACCCAUCUCAACUCAUUAUCCUUUUUAAUAAAAACAAUAUUAAUCAUAGUUUUAGUCUUUGCUCUUUUAUAUUAUGAGGUGGAGAAAUUAUUGAUUGGAUCGGAUCGACCUUUUCAGCAGUGGAAUAUUAAUCUAACCAUAAAAAAUAUGCACCAUAAUUUCACCUCUGGGCAAUGCAGAUAUUGACAAAAAAGAAACAUAAGAAAAAGAGAUCAACGCAGGCAUAUUUAUGUAUG
Molecule: long non-coding RNA, 253 nt
Filed under: Phoenix dactylifera (date palm)
Lineage: Eukaryota; Viridiplantae; Streptophyta; Magnoliopsida; Arecales; Arecaceae
Description: long non-coding RNA (PDAC_LNC016694)
Source: RNAcentral